RNAcentral lists this ribosomal RNA (497 nucleotides) under uncultured bacterium. Its description in RNAcentral is "partial 16S ribosomal RNA". It matches the Rfam family "Bacterial small subunit ribosomal RNA", at positions 28 to 507 of the family's 1533-position model. The record is from RNAcentral.
GACGAACGCUGGCGGCGUGCCUAAUACAUGCAAGUUGAGCGCUGAAGGUUGGUACUUGUACCAACUGGAUGAGCAGCGAACGGGUGAGUAACGCGUGGGGAAUCUGCCUUUGAGCGGGGGACAACAUUUGGAAACGAAUGCUAAUACCGCAUAAAAACUUUAAACACAAGUUUUAAGUUUGAAAGAUGCAAUUGCAUCACUCAAAGAUGAUCCCGCGUUGUAUUAGCUAGUUGGUGAGGUAAAGGCUCACCAAGGCGAUGAUACAUAGCCGACCUGAGAGGGUGAUCGGCCACAUUGGGACUGAGACACGGCCCAAACUCCUACGGGAGGCAGCAGUAGGGAAUCUUCGGCAAUGGACGAAAGUCUGAACGAGCAACGCCGCGUGAGUGAAGAAGGUUUUCGGAUCGUAAAACUCUGUUGGUAGAGAAGAACGUUGGUGAGAGUGGAAAGCUCAUCAAGUGACGGUAACUACCCAGAAAGGGACGGCUAACUACGUG